Long non-coding RNA from Archocentrus centrarchus (flier cichlid), 256 nucleotides. RefSeq lists it as uncharacterized. The transcript has 3 exons. The record is from RefSeq and is a predicted model, not a curated record. NCBI's taxonomy places the organism in Eukaryota, Metazoa, Chordata, Actinopteri, Cichliformes, Cichlidae.
ACGUGGUGGACCCUACAUUGACCAACAGUGCUAGGAUCGAGUCCUGACGAAUCACAGCAGCCUGGGUGUGGAGUCAUUUCAGACCUGCAGGGCAUGAAGCUGAGUGCUCAGACUGACCAACCGCUGAUGGACUUCCUGCAGAGAGGACAGUUGGAACACAGUCGGGACACAGCUGGAAAACAGCUGAGACGCAGCUGAAAUACAAGAGGGACACAGCUGGAACACAGCUGGAACACAGACAGUGGGAACACAGGUG